RNAcentral lists this ribosomal RNA (445 nucleotides) under uncultured bacterium. RNAcentral's name for it is "bacterial SSU rRNA". It matches the Rfam family "Bacterial small subunit ribosomal RNA", at positions 330 to 792 of the family's 1533-position model. The record is from RNAcentral.
UCCAGACUCCUACGGGAGGCAGCAGUCGGGAAUAUUGCGCAAUGGAGGAAACUCUGACGCAGUGACGCCGCGUGCAGGAAGAAGGUUUUCGGAUUGUAAACUGCUUUAGACAGGGAAGAAACAAGACAGUACCUGUAGAAUAAGCCCCGGCUAACUACGUGCCAGCAGCCGCGGUAAUACGUAGGGGGCAAGCGUUAUCCGGAAUUAUUGGGCGUAAAGAGUACGUAGGUGGCAACCUAAGCGCAGGGUUUAAGGCAAUGGCUCAACCAUUGUUCGCCCUGCGAACUGGGAUGCUUGAGUGCAGGAGAGGAAAGCGGAAUUCCUAGUGUAGCGGUGAAAUGCGUAGAUAUUAGGAGGAACACCAGUGGCGAAGGCGGCUUUCUGGACUGUAACUGACACUGAGGUACGAAAGCGUGGGGAGCAAACAGGAUUAGAUACCCCCGUA